CCGCGGGUAGCCGCCGGAGGUCCCGAGGCCAAGGGCGCAGGAGACACUAGGAGAGGCAGGGCGAGCUGGGCGAGCAGGGAUGCUUCGUACGCUGGAGCCCAAGGUCGAUGCAGCGCUGGAUCCUGCCUUUCGGAAUAAGGAUGAUGUCACCCAGACGCCCACAGCGCUGACAUGGAAGCACGGGCCUUCUGCAGGCUCAGAUCAUCAGAGUGACACACCAAGCCGGCAGCAAAGGACACCGUCCUCGCCCGGGAUCCCAAGGUUAAGAAAGCGCUUUUCCAAAAACUUGGACUGCACAGUUCCUACACUGAAGGUUUUUGUUUUUUAGCUUACCAAAUGAGAAAGAAAUUUAAGACAACAACGCGCCAUCAACAAGUAUUCGGUGUACAUAUUAGGACUUCGGAGACACUGAGGAUGCAGCGGUGAGCAAAAGUAAACGGCUCUUUCCUGCAUGGAGCUCGGAGCUUAAUAAAGGGAGAAAGAAAGCAAAGCCAAUACAAGCAUUCAAAGGAAAUGAACUGACUCUAUCGUAAUAAAAAAAAAACUACAUAAUUUUUAAAUGACUCAUUUGUUUCCAUUGUGUAAAGAAAGCUCAGCAGAGUAUUUCCCACUUCUCUGUAAUUCUAAUCAUCUAUGUCUUUUCUCCCUACACGUUGCUGAGCCUGAGGCCUCCUUAGAAUGCAUACUGAAGAAAGCUGAUCAUGAAGCCUCCCCUCCGACUGCCUGGACUGCCUGGAAAUGAGCGAACGGGUACACUUUGUGCCUCCCAAUCAAACACUUGUCAAACAUAACUCAUCCUGAGGGAGAGCCAAGGCUGUGUUUUCUUCAUUUUCUGCUGGGUACUGUAUAUUCUAGAAGGAGCCAAACAAAUUCACAUUCAACUCACCAUACCAAGCAGUGUGCUUAGAAACCUAAAUUACUUGCUACCUAAUUCUUGGUGUGUAUGCAGGGACUUUUACCAUCCUGUGCAGACUCACUGUCUCUCUGAUUGCCCCUCUCUGGAGCACCUCCUGUGCCCCCAGGCUUCCAGGACAGCAUCCUCCUCUCUGUCUUCCAGAGGUGCUUCUUUACCUCUAGAGUGUGGGCUCCUUCAGAGCAGGCACCAUUCUUGGUCCUGUGUUCUACGCAGCCACCAAGUGUCCCGAGUCCAGUGCUGACCCGUGAUAGGAACCUAGCAAAUAAAUGUUAUGAAGGCGUUUGAAGACAAGCCACCUCAGAACAUGCCAGAUCAUCACCUUGCUAAUUUCACUCUGAAAUCCCUUCAGAAGGAGCCUCCCUUCCUGCAGCAAGACAGGGUUCUUUGGGGGAGGACCUACUUCACAGAGCAGUGCUGGGAGAUGCGCUUACUCUUUGGAGAUUGGUAAUUGAGAAUUCUGUAAGCCUGGAAAGACAAACUCCAAAGUAAUCCUUACCUUACUGUAGUCCCCUCCAUCCCCCCCCCCCCCCCGCCAUCUCUUUCCUAAUAACAACCCUAGAACGUAAUACUCUCUCAGAGACUGCUUCUGCCAUUUCUUCACAAAUUUAGUGUUCUUUGUCUAAAAUGUAUAAAAAUAUCAUGGUGUGGUCAUUCUGAAUUCUGCUCUUUUGUGAAGAUCCUAGGAAAUUAGUAAAAACUGCAUAAAUUUUUCUUGUGAAUCAGCUCUUGCAUUCAUUAAGUUACUCCAUCCACGUGAAAGCCCACAGAAAAGAUAGCUGCCAUUCACUGGGUUGGAUGUUGUUGCUACAUUAAUAACUCCUAUAUCACUGAGCUUUUUCACUUAUAGAUUAAAAUUACUGUUUAGCACAGGACUGAUUGCAUUGCCUUUAAUCAUGUUCUUAAAAAUAUUGACAUAAAAAUCUAUGGGAAAUAGUCUGUCUCCAAGAUUGAA
This is a long non-coding RNA of Peromyscus californicus insignis, 1868 nucleotides long. RefSeq lists it as uncharacterized. The transcript is spliced from 2 exons. The record is from RefSeq and is a predicted model, not a curated record. Lineage: Eukaryota; Metazoa; Chordata; Mammalia; Rodentia; Cricetidae.